RNAcentral lists this ribosomal RNA (468 nucleotides) under uncultured bacterium. RNAcentral describes it as "partial 16S ribosomal RNA". It matches the Rfam family "Bacterial small subunit ribosomal RNA", at positions 28 to 507 of the family's 1533-position model. The record is from RNAcentral.
GACGAACGCUGGCGGCGUGCUUAACACAUGCAAGUCGAACGGAAAGGCCCUGCUUUUGUGGGGUGCUCGAGUGGCGAACGGGUGAGUAACACGUGAGUAACCUGCCCUUGACUUUGGGAUAACUUCAGGAAACUGGGGCUAAUACCGGAUAUGAGCUCCUGCUGCAUGGUGGGGGUUGGAAAGUUUCGGCGGUUGGGGAUGGACUCGCGGCUUAUCAGCUUGUUGGUGGGGUAGUGGCUUACCAAGGCUUUGACGGGUAGCCGGCCUGAGAGGGUGACCGGCCACAUUGGGACUGAGAUACGGACCAGAAUCCUACGGGAGGCAGCAGUGGGGAAUAUUGCACAAUGGGCGGAAGCCUGAUGCAACAACGCCGCGUGCGGGAUGACGGCCUUCGGGUUGUAAACCGCUUUCGCCUGUGACGAAGCGUGAGUGACGGUAAUGGGUAAAGAAGCACCGGCUAACUACGUG